This 391-nucleotide unclassified non-coding RNA is filed under the name soil metagenome. RNAcentral describes it as "partial contains 5.8S ribosomal RNA, internal transcribed spacer 2, and large subunit ribosomal RNA". The stretch from base 1 to 122 matches the Rfam family "5.8S ribosomal RNA", at positions 35 to 154 of the family's 154-position model. The record is from RNAcentral.
GAUGAAGAACGCAGUGAAAUGCGAUACUUGGUGUGAAUUGCAGAAUCCCGUGAACCAUCGAGUCUUUGAACGCAAGUUGCGCCCGAAGCCAUUAGGCCGAGGGCACGCCUGCCUGGGCGUCACACGUCGUUGCCCCCCCAUCUACUCCUUCGGGAUUGCGGGGGGCGGAUGAUGGCCUCUCGUGCGCCUCGUCGCGCGGUUGGCCUAAAUGCCAAGUCCUCGGCGACGCACGCCACGACAAUCGGUGGUUGCGAAACCUCGGUUGCCUGUCGUGUGCGGUCGUCGCGCAUCGAGGGCUCGAAAAAAUUGCCGGGCUUCGGCUCGACUUUCAACGCGACCCCAGGUCAGGCGGGGUUACCCGCUGAAUUUAAGCAUAUCAAUAAGCGGAGGA